AGAGUUUGAUCAUGGCUCAGAACGUACGCUGGCGGCACGCCUUAUACAUGCAAGUCGAACGAAGUAGCAAUACUUAGUGGCAGACGGGUGAGUAACAUGUGGGUAUCUUCCCUUUGGUGAGGAAUAACACGAGGAAACUUGUGCUAAUACCUCAUAAGUCUUUACGGAGAAAGCUUUAUGCGCCAAUGGAUGAGCCCGCACUUGAUUAGUUUGUUGGUGGGGUAAUGGCCUACCAAGACUGUGAUCAAUAGCUGAUUUGAGAGGAUGAUCAGCCACAUUGGGACUGAGACACGGCCCAAACUCCUACGGGAGGCAGCAGUAAGGAAUCUUGCACAAUGGAGGAAACUCUGAUGCAGCGAUGCCGCGUGAGUGAAGAAGGCCUUUGGGUUGUAAAGCUCUUUCGUCGGGGAAGAAAAUGACUGUACCCGAAUAAGAAGGUCCGGCUAACUUCGUGCCAGCAGCCGCGGUAAUACGAAGGGACCUAGCGUAGUUCGGAAUUACUGGGCUUAAAGAGUUCGUAGGUGGUUAAAAAAGUUGGUGGUGAAAUCCCAGAGCUUAACUCUGGAACUGCCAUCAAAACUUUUUAGCUAGAGUAUGAUAGAGGAAAGCAGAAUUUCUAGUGUAGAGGUGAAAUUCGUAGAUAUUAGAAAGAAUACCAAUUGCGAAGGCAGCUUUCUGGAUCAUUACUGACACUGAGGAACGAAAGCAUGGGUAGCGAAGAGGAUUAGAUACCCUCGUAGUCCAUGCCGUAAACGAUGUGUGUUAGACGU
Molecule: ribosomal RNA, 770 nt
Filed under: marine metagenome
Description: bacterial SSU rRNA
Rfam family: Bacterial small subunit ribosomal RNA
Source: RNAcentral